AAAUCUGGACCCCACACCCACCCAAUUAGGUCUCCUAUUAACUCGCUCUCACUUUCUCUCUUACCUCUCUCUCCACAAACGAUCUCAUUCGCCGUCGUUUCCUCAGGCGAAUCUAAUUUAUUCUAUUUAUUCUAUUUUUAAUUUCGAUCAUCAUCUCUGCUACAAUUCCGUUGUUUCGAUCUCGCUUAUUGUUCCCGGCGAUAUGCAUUUAUGAUCAUUUGAUUCCCUCGUGAUUGGCGCCGACAUUUAUCUCUCCCGCCAGGGUGCAUUGUUGUUGCUGAAGAGCGAUUGACCGUUGUUCGAGUGGAAUUGAGCACAGAGAGAGAGAGAGAGAGAGAGAGAGAGAGAGAGAGUUUAGUGCCUCCAAUUGUGUGCUGAAGCCGGGAGAUGUCGGGCCCACUGGAUCGCUUC
This 411-nucleotide unclassified non-coding RNA is filed under the name Hevea brasiliensis (rubber tree). Lineage: Eukaryota; Viridiplantae; Streptophyta; Magnoliopsida; Malpighiales; Euphorbiaceae. The record is from RNAcentral.